RNAcentral lists this microRNA precursor (60 nucleotides) under Pristionchus pacificus. RNAcentral describes it as "mir-8364 microRNA precursor family". It matches the Rfam family "mir-8364 microRNA precursor family". The record is from Rfam by way of RNAcentral. Lineage: Eukaryota; Metazoa; Nematoda; Chromadorea; Rhabditida; Neodiplogasteridae.
UCUUCAUUUCACACACUCUCUCGUCGAUCGAGCCGGCGAGAGAGUGUGCAAAUGAAGAGA